GAUGAACGCUGGCGGCGUGCCUAACACAUGCAAGUCGAACGGAGAUUACGGACGGAAGUUUUCGGAUGGAAGACUGUAAUUCUUAGUGGCGGACGGGUGAGUAACGCGUGGGCAACCUGCCCUAUACAGGGGGAUAGCAGCUGGAAACGGCUGGUAAGACCGCAUAAGUCGGUUAAAUCGCAUGAUUUGAUCGGGAAAUGAGCAAUCAGGUAUAGGAUGGGCCCGCGUCCGAUUAGCCAGUUGGCAGGGUAAAAGCCUACCAAAGCGACGAUCGGUAGCCGGACUGAGAGGCCGGACGGCCACAUUGGGACUGAGACACGGCCCAAACUCCUACGGGAGGCAGCAGUGGGGGAUAUUGCACAAUGGAGGAAACUCUGAUGCAGCGACGCCGCGUGAGUGAAGAAGUAUUUCGGUAUGUAAAGCUCUAUCAGCAGGGAAGAUGAUGACGGUACCUGACUAAGAAGCCCCGGCUAACUACGUG
Molecule: ribosomal RNA, 481 nt
Filed under: uncultured bacterium
Lineage: Bacteria
Description: partial 16S ribosomal RNA
Rfam family: Bacterial small subunit ribosomal RNA
Source: RNAcentral